Molecule: ribosomal RNA, 495 nt
Filed under: uncultured bacterium
Lineage: Bacteria
Description: partial 16S ribosomal RNA
Rfam family: Bacterial small subunit ribosomal RNA
Source: RNAcentral
GACGAACGCUGGCGGCGUGCCUAAUACAUGCAAGUAGAACGCUGAAGGAGGAGCUUGCUUCUCUGGAUGAGUUGCGAACGGGUGAGUAACGCGUAGGUAACCUGCCUGGUAGCGGGGGAUAACUAUUGGAAACGAUAGCUAAUACCGCAUAAGAGUAGAUGUUGCAUGACAUUUGCUUAAAAGGUGCAAUUGCAUCACUACCAGAUGGACCUGCGUUGUAUUAGCUAGUUGGUGGGGUAACGGCUUACCAAGGCGACGAUACAUAGCCGCCCGGAGAGGGGGAGCGGCCGCACUGGGACUGGGACGCGCCCCAGUCUCCUACGGGUGGCGGCAGUAGGGAUACUUCGGCAAUGGACGGAAGUCUGACCGAGCAACGCCGCGUGAGUGAAGAAGGUUUUCGGAUCGUAAAGCUCUGUUGUAAGAGAAGAACGAGUGUGAGAGUGGAAAGUUCACACUGUGACGGUAUCUUACCAGAAAGGAACGGCUAACUACGUG